GUGGAAUGUAUUUAUAGCAACGAUGGGAAAUAGAAUGGUGCGGAAACCAGAUCCCGGCCGUUGAAUUGACGAACCAGGUUUUUGACUGAAUGUCUUCUUCUUUUCUUUUUUAAUUUUAUUCUAAUUUCAUAAGCACUUUUUAGCUUUUUUCUCAGAAAUUAAUUGCUAAUAGAUAAAUAACAACCUUUCUCAAUAAUUCAGUGUUAAGAUCGUGAAUCCCAAAUCCGUGAUUCAUGACGUCAUAAUCUUACGGAGAAAAGUCAGAUAUAUCAGAUCUGUAUUUUCAAAUUUACAUAAGAAAAUUAAUUUAACUUAUUAUAGUUUUUUUAUAACAAAAUUACAUAAUAUAUUAUCGGUUACAUUAUAAUGAAAAAUAAGAAAAACAACGUUAAAAUGAUUUCAUUUAUUAUAAAAAAAAUGGAUUUCUAAAUCAGAUAUUUCUAUUUUCGAAUUUUUACGGGAGUUUUAAAUAUUUUAUUUUUCAAUAUUUUAAAAUGGGGAGAAGUGGAGAACGUGAAUAACUAAAUAAGAAGGUAAACAAAUUUAAAAAAUGUUUGUUGUUCUUGUUUUACUUACUUUUUUUAUUAAAAUUUUAGAUUCAAAAAAUGAUCUCUGUUGACACUUGACACGUCUACCACUACAAAAAAAAUGAUCCAUACCGAUUUCAGAUCAAACUCAACCAUUGAUGAAAACAAUCAAAAGGAAGAAGAAACAGAUUUCGGUAGUUAAAAAUUAUACAGUUAAAUCGGUAGAAACAAGAUCGUGAAUAAAAAGAGACUCAGAUUUGCCAGAAAUAGUGGCGAUUGGUUGCCAUCAACUGUCUAUCUAGGAUCACCAUCAACACGCCACCAAAGGUACCUAACAAUUAACAUGUACCAAAUCUGGAAUCCACUGUUUUCGUGGAAACAUCAGUCACAAAGUGGACGGCGAUCCAUCGUCAUUGCCUGCUUAGAAGAGGAGAAAGAGAAGGAAGAAGACGAUGACAAUGACAUUAAGAAUCAUCGGCAUUUCUGGCGGACAGAAAGAGGCGGCGGAAACCAAGAUCGAACUUCCACCAAAACCUUCGACUGUCGUCACCAGAAAACUCAUUACUUAAAACAGAC
Molecule: long non-coding RNA, 1103 nt
Filed under: Zostera marina
Lineage: Eukaryota; Viridiplantae; Streptophyta; Magnoliopsida; Alismatales; Zosteraceae
Description: long non-coding RNA (ZMAR_LNC000474)
Source: RNAcentral